AGGCUAUGAUGAGAAAAGUCAUGAACCACUUUGAAGAGAUUUAUCUCUGUGCUGAUAAACAAACUUUACAACCCAUUGUAAAUCUGAGCCA
Triticum aestivum (bread wheat) is the source of this 91-nucleotide non-coding RNA. NCBI's taxonomy places the organism in Eukaryota, Viridiplantae, Streptophyta, Magnoliopsida, Poales, Poaceae. The record is from Rfam.